Molecule: ribosomal RNA, 555 nt
Filed under: Staphylococcus sp. 2Asq67
Lineage: Bacteria; Bacillati; Bacillota; Bacilli; Caryophanales; Staphylococcaceae
Description: bacterial SSU rRNA
Rfam family: Bacterial small subunit ribosomal RNA
Source: RNAcentral
CCUACGGGAGGCAGCAGUAGGGAAUCUUCCGCAAUGGGCGAAAGCCUGACGGAGCAACGCCGCGUGAGUGAUGAAGGUCUUCGGAUCGUAAAACUCUGUUAUUAGGGAAGAACAUACGUGUAAGUAACUGUGCACGUCUUGACGGUACCUAAUCAGAAAGCCACGGCUAACUACGUGCCAGCAGCCGCGGUAAUACGUAGGUGGCAAGCGUUAUCCGGAAUUAUUGGGCGUAAAGCGCGCGUAGGCGGUUUUUUAAGUCUGAUGUGAAAGCCCACGGCUCAACCGUGGAGGGUCAUUGGAAACUGGAAAACUUGAGUGCAGAAGAGGAAAGUGGAAUUCCAUGUGUAGCGGUGAAAUGCGCAGAGAUAUGGAGGAACACCAGUGGCGAAGGCGACUUUCUGGUCUGUAACUGACGCUGAUGUGCGAAAGCGUGGGGAUCAAACAGGAUUAGAUACCCUGGUAGUCCACGCCGUAAACGAUGAGUGCUAAGUGUUAGGGGGUUUCCGCCCCUUAGUGCUGCAGCUAACGCAUUAAGCACUCCGCCUGGGGAGUACG